RNAcentral lists this ribosomal RNA (253 nucleotides) under uncultured bacterium. RNAcentral's name for it is "partial 16S ribosomal RNA". It matches the Rfam family "Bacterial small subunit ribosomal RNA", at positions 524 to 776 of the family's 1533-position model. The record is from RNAcentral.
UACGUAGGGUGCAAGCGUUGUCCGGAAUUACUGGGCGUAAAGGGCGCGUAGGCGGUUCGUUAAGUUGGAUGUGAAAACUCUGGGCUCAACCCAGAGCCUGCAUCCAAAACUGGCGGGCUAGAGUUCUGGAGGGGGUAGCGGAAUUCCUGGUGUAGCGGUGAAAUGCGUAGAUAUCAGGAGGAACACCGGUGGCGAAGGCGGGUCUCUGGGCCGAUACUGACGCUGAGGAGCGAAAGCGUGGGGAGCGAACAGG